This 254-nucleotide ribosomal RNA is filed under the name uncultured bacterium. RNAcentral's name for it is "partial 16S ribosomal RNA". It matches the Rfam family "Bacterial small subunit ribosomal RNA", at positions 524 to 776 of the family's 1533-position model. The record is from RNAcentral.
UACGGAGGGAGCAAGCGUUGUUCGGAUUUACUGGGCGUAAAGGGCGCGUAGGCGGUCAGCCCAAGUCAGUUGUGAAAUCUCCGGGCUUAACUCGGAAAGGUCAACUGAUACUGUGCGACUUGAGUCCGGAAGGGGCGAGUGGAAUUCCUGGUGUAGCGGUGAAAUGCGCAGAUAUCAGGAGGAACACCAAUGGCGAAGGCAGCUCGCUGGAACGGUACUGACGCUGAGGCGCGAAAGCGUGGGGAGCGAACAGG